Molecule: unclassified non-coding RNA, 253 nt
Filed under: Thermoactinomycetaceae bacterium
Lineage: Bacteria; Bacillati; Bacillota; Bacilli; Caryophanales; Thermoactinomycetaceae
Also listed under: 1 other name
Description: partial 16S ribosomal RNA
Rfam family: Bacterial small subunit ribosomal RNA
Source: RNAcentral
GACGAACCGUCCGAACGUUAUUCGGAAUCACUGGGCUUAAAGAGUGCGUAGGCGGCUCGCCAGGUGGGGUGUGAAAUCCCUCGGCCCAACCGAGGAAUGGCGCUCCAAACCGGCGAGCUUGAGGAGAAUAGGGGUCAGCGGAACUGAUGGUGGAGCGGUGAAAUGCGUUGAUAUCAUCAGGAACACCCGUGGCGAAAGCGGCUGACUGGGUUCUUUCUGACGCUGAGGCACGAAAGCCAGGGGAGCGAACGGG